This 428-nucleotide ribosomal RNA is filed under the name uncultured Bacteriovorax sp. Its description in RNAcentral is "bacterial SSU rRNA". It matches the Rfam family "Bacterial small subunit ribosomal RNA", at positions 355 to 774 of the family's 1533-position model. Lineage: Bacteria; Pseudomonadati; Bdellovibrionota; Bacteriovoracia; Bacteriovoracales; Bacteriovoracaceae. The record is from RNAcentral.
UGGGGAAUAUUGCGCAAUGGGGGAAACCCUGACGCAGCAACGCCGCGUGAGUGAGGAAGGACUUCGGUCUGUAAAGCUCUGUUAAUGUGGAAAAAUGGUUAGUGGUCUAAUAGGCCAUUAAUUUGAUGGUACACAUAGAGGAAGCACCGGCUAACUUCGUGCCAGCAGCCGCGGUAAUACGAAGGGUGCAAGCGUUGUUCGGAUUUAUUGGGCGUAAAGCGCGCGUAGGCGGACCUGCAAGUCAGAUGUGAAAUCUCGGGGCUCAACCCCGAAACUGCGUCUGAAACUACAGGUCUAGAAUCUUGGAGGGGGAAGGGGAAUUUCGCAUGUAGGGGUAAAAUCCGUAGAUAUGCGAAGGAACACCAGAGGCGAAGGCGCCUUCCUGGACAAGUAUUGACGCUGAGGCGCGAAAGCGUGGGGAUCAAACA